CAGUAGCCGCGGUAAUACGAAGGGGGCUAGCGUUGUUCGGAUUUACUGGGCGUAAAGCGCACGUAGGCGGAUCGAUCAGUCAGGGGUGAAAUCCCAGAGCUCAACUCUGGAACUGCCUUUGAUACUGUCGAUCUGGAGUAUGGAAGAGGUGAGUGGAAUUCCGAGUGCAGAGGUGAAAUUCGUAGAUAUUCGGAGGAACACCAGUGGCGAAGGCGGCUCACUGGUCCAUUACUGACGCUGAGGCGCGAAAGCUAGGGUAGCAAACGGGAUUAGAUACCCCAGUAGUCCCUGUCUCUUAUAC
RNAcentral lists this ribosomal RNA (301 nucleotides) under uncultured bacterium. RNAcentral describes it as "partial 16S ribosomal RNA". It matches the Rfam family "Bacterial small subunit ribosomal RNA", at positions 509 to 807 of the family's 1533-position model. The record is from RNAcentral.